CCUACGGGUGGCAGCAGUGGGGAAUAUUGCACAAUGGGGGAAACCCUGAUGCAGCGACGCCGCGUGAGUGAAGAAGUAUCUCGGUACGUAAAGCUCUAUCAGCAGGGAAGAAAAUGACGGUACCUGACUAAGAAGCCCCGUCUAAAUACGAGCCGGCAGCCGCGGGAAGACGUAGGGGGCAGGCGUUAUCCGGAUUUACUGGGUGUAAAGGGAGCGUAGACGGCAGCACAAGUCUGGAGUGAAAUGCCGGGGCUUAACCCCGGAACUGCUUUGGAAACUGUGCGGCUGGAGUGCAGGAGGGGUAAGCGGAAUUCCUAGUGUAGCGGUGAAAUGCGUAGAUAUUAGGAGGAACACCGGUGGCGAAGGCGGCUUACUGGACUGUAACUGACGUUGAGGCUCGAAAGCGUGGGGAGCAAACAGGAUUAGAUACCCUGGUAGUC
Molecule: ribosomal RNA, 440 nt
Filed under: uncultured bacterium
Lineage: Bacteria
Description: partial 16S ribosomal RNA
Rfam family: Bacterial small subunit ribosomal RNA
Source: RNAcentral